This 929-nucleotide unclassified non-coding RNA is filed under the name Hevea brasiliensis (rubber tree). Lineage: Eukaryota; Viridiplantae; Streptophyta; Magnoliopsida; Malpighiales; Euphorbiaceae. The record is from RNAcentral.
GCAUAAUUCAAUCUUGACAUAGACCUUUGAUUUGCAGCUGUAACAGCAUCUUUUUCUAAAUCUGAUACAGAAGCAGAUGCUUCAUUUGUGCUAUAACGUGAAGGUUUGUCAACGGACUGACCAGAUUGCUUGUUUGGUGGAGGAGGUGCGUCAGCGUUAUCCUUAAAAGAUUGUCUGUACCUCCUUGGUCCCCGACCUCUGAUAGCUUUUGAAGGAUUACUCUGAAUGUUCUGGUUAUUAUCCUUAGUCUGAUCAUUACCAUUGAUGUACGCUCUGGGUUUUCUUCCUUGUGAAGCUCCACUAUCAGCCCCUCGCAUCCUACCACGACCUCGAUAGCGACCCCUUGAUAUUCUCCUAUCAUCGUCGUAAUUCCUCUGCUCCACAGUCAACUCUUCAAACUUGUCAUGGCCCCAUUUACGAUCAUCUUUUGAUUCCCAUAACCUUCUUCCGCCAGACAUUCGUUUUUGUCGCCCGCCUACAUUGUCUCCAAACCUAUCAUCGUGCAUAUAAAAAGCUCCAGUCUUGGGCACAGCAUAGGGUUCAUUUUCUUUUUUCUCUUCUUCCUGCGGCAAAUCAUGUUCAUCUCUAUCAACAACCCCUGGAGUAGAACCUCCUCCUUGCUCAACAACUUCCUUCACUCCCUCAGCCGCUUCCUCAACCACAGCCUCAACUUCCCCGUACAAUUCGUCUUCCUCCUCCUCCUCCUCUACAUACUCCUCAUCAUCCUCGUACACCGCCGCAGCACCUUGCCCCUCCGACUCAUCAUCAGAAUCAAUACUCCUUAAGGGCUUUUCUGUUUUUCCACUUUCUCCACCUCCGUCCUCAUCAUCACUUGCCUCUCUCCGCCUCAUCUUCAACGACAGCAUCGCUUCCUCCGGAUCGCUCUCGUAAUCAACAUCUUCCCCUCCUGUUCCUGUUCCUGUUCCUGU